This 253-nucleotide ribosomal RNA is filed under the name uncultured bacterium. Its description in RNAcentral is "partial 16S ribosomal RNA". It matches the Rfam family "Bacterial small subunit ribosomal RNA", at positions 524 to 776 of the family's 1533-position model. The record is from RNAcentral.
UACAGAGGUCUCAAGCGUUGUUCGGAAUUACUGGGCGUAAAGGGCGCGUAGGCGGCUCGCUAAGUCGGAUGUGAAAACUCUGGGCUCAACCCAGAGCCUGCAUCCGAAACUGGUGGGCUAGGGUGCUGGAGGGGAAAGCGGAAUUCCUGGUGUAGCGGUGAAAUGCGUAGAUAUCAGGAGGAACACCGGUGGCGAAGGCGGCUUUCUGGACAGUAACCGACGCUGAGGCGCGAAAGCUAGGGGAGCAAACAGG